This 502-nucleotide ribosomal RNA is filed under the name uncultured bacterium. RNAcentral describes it as "bacterial SSU rRNA". It matches the Rfam family "Bacterial small subunit ribosomal RNA", at positions 10 to 507 of the family's 1533-position model. The record is from RNAcentral.
AGUUUGAUCAUGGCUCAGAUUGAACGCUAGCGGGAUGCCUUACACAUGCAAGUCGAACGGCAGCGCGGACUUCGGUCUGGCGGCGAGUGGCGAACGGGUGAGUAAUGUAUCGGAACGUGCCCAGUAGCGGGGGACAACCACUCGAAAGAGUGGCUAAUACCGCGUACGCCCGUACGGGGAAAGGGGGGGAUCGCAAGACCUCUCACUAUUGGAGCGGCCGAUAUCGGAUUAGCUAGUUGGUGGGGUAAAGGCCUACCAAGGCGACGAUCCGUAGCUGGUUUGAGAGGACGACCAGCCACACUGGGACUGAGACACGGCCCAGACUCCUACGGGAGGCAGCAGUGGGGAAUUUUGGACAAUGGGGGAAACCCUGAUCCAGCCAUUCCGCGUGUGCGAUGAAGGCCUUCGGGUUGUAAAGCACUUUUGGCAGGAAAGAAAUCGUGUGGGUUAAUACCCUGCGCGGAUGACGGUACCUGCAGAAUAAGCACCGGCUAACUACGUG